This 613-nucleotide unclassified non-coding RNA is filed under the name Hevea brasiliensis (rubber tree). Lineage: Eukaryota; Viridiplantae; Streptophyta; Magnoliopsida; Malpighiales; Euphorbiaceae. The record is from RNAcentral.
UUUAGUUUCAAUUACAGUUAUGAUCCAGUAUCUGAAUAUCUAUCUUUCAUCGAUAAUGGUGACUUCUCUGUUGAUGGUGUGCUAUCUGACUUCCCAAUAACUCUAUCAGGGGCAAUAGACUGCUUUUCUCAUUUAGGUAAAAAUGCUUCAGAAAAAGCAAAAGUUUUGGUCAUCUCAAAAAAUGGAGCAAGCGGAGAUUACCCUGGUUGUACCGACAAGGCAUACCAGAAAGCUAUUUCAGAUGGUGCAGAUGUUAUCGAUUGUCCUGUACAAAUGUCAAAGGAUGGAAUACCAUUUUGCCUAGGCUCCAUAAAUCUUAUUGACAGUACGACAGUUGCCCAGUCCAAAUAUAGCAACCUUUCAGCAAUAAUUCCAGAGCUCAAAACAGGCAGUGGAAUAUUUACCUUUAGCUUGACAUGGAGUCAGAUUCAGAGCUUGACACCGGCAAUGGCAAACCCAUAUGCAAAAUAUGAAUUGUUCCGGAAUCCAAAGUUCAGAAAUGAUGGAAAGUUCUUAAGCUUGUCUGAUUUCCUGGCCCUGGCNNNNNNNNNUAGUUCUCUCUCUGGUGUCUUGAUAAGCAUCGAGAAUGCGUCUUAUCUGAUAGAGAAGCAGC